This 253-nucleotide ribosomal RNA is filed under the name uncultured bacterium. RNAcentral's name for it is "partial 16S ribosomal RNA". It matches the Rfam family "Bacterial small subunit ribosomal RNA", at positions 524 to 776 of the family's 1533-position model. The record is from RNAcentral.
GACGGAGGGGGCUAGCGUUGUUCGGAAUAACUGGGCGUAAAGGGCGCGUAGGCGGUCUUUUAAGUGAGGCGUGAAAGCCCUGGGCUUAACCCAGGAGGUGCGUUUCAGACUGAAAGACUUGAGUACGAGAGAGGAAAGUGGAAUUCCUAGUGUAGAGGUGAAAUUCGUAGAUAUUAGGAAGAACACCAGUGGCGAAGGCGGCUUUCUGGCUCGUAACUGACGCUGAGGCGCGAAAGCGUGGGGAGCAAACAGG